GGUAGCUAGGGUUUUGGGGAUUUUAGAUUUCGCGGUACAAGGACUAUGGACGGAUAGAUUUGGGCCUGCCAAGGGGAGCUGAAAUCUAAAGGUAACAAAAAAAUAUUGUAUUAGUAAUCUUAUCAUUUUUGAAGUUUUGAUAACUGCUGCUACUAUUUACCUUCUGAAUUUUAGAGUAUCUCCAAGAGCUUCCAGAAAAUGACUCCUAAAAAUUAUUUUUAAAGUACAUCUAAAAAUUAGUAGGGUAAAUUUUAAUUAUUUCUCCAACAGAUCCCUUAAAACGGCAGAUUGUUUUUGGAGAGCCUGAAACCCCCAUUUUUAGCUACAAAUGAGAGAGUUUUAAAGGCUAUAGAAAAAAUUAAAAGCACUUUAGAGGAACUGUUGGAGACACUUUUUUUGUAUUUUUUCACAAAAAAACUUGAUUUAAGGGAGACUUUUGGAAACUCUUGGAGAUGCUCUUAUAUCAUUAUAAUUAUUCCUUCUUUUUUAAGUUAUGGUAUGUGACGGUCACAGAAUGCCUUCGGCCAUGUGCAAUCUGUAGCGAUGAAAUCAUGAUGAAAAUUGUUGAAAACGAUUAAGAAAAUAGCUAAAUUGAUUUUGUUUCCAUAUUUUUUAAUAUGACGAAAACACAAAUAGAAAACCAACCAAAAUACGGGAACAAAAUUGUCAGUUAUUCGAAAACAAUAAACUGUAUUCGAAAAGACAAAUAUUUUGUAAUUUUUGCAAAUACAUAAUAAAGUGGUAUAUUGCCUAAUUUUUAAGAUAUUAAAAUACAUAAACAACUCUUAUUCAUCAUUCAUAUUAUUUAGAGUAAUUACAACCUUUUGUUUUUCUCUUGUUCAUUCAUUUGACCGAACCCGCGGACCAACAACUGAAAGCUAACUUCCUAUAGUAGGUCGUAAGAAGUUAGCAGGAUAAGCUAACUUCCUAGAGGCGGCCGUAGAAAGUUAGCAGCUCGUUUUAUUAGUUAAAUCUUUAUUUGAUAUGGUUUCAUAUACAGAAGCGUCUAAUAUAGUAACCAAAAUAAAAGACACUUUUUGUAAACUUAAUGCCUCAAAAGGUAUAUUUAUUUGAGACGAUUUCAAAAUUAAACUGUAUUAAUUAGAUAUAAGACAUUUCCAACCAUAUAUCUGUCUCAAAAACCUUCUUUAUUAAAGACGGAUGUCCAACAAACCGUCUUACCUUACUCAGCACCAUAUGAUAAAAGACGCUUCUAUAAAAUGCACUGAUAUUUGUCUUAAGAUGUAUGUCUUAAAUAAGCAUAUUUCUAGUAGUGACUGAAGGAUUACGGGGAGGCUACGCUAGUGCAAAACAAAAUUUUCAACCCCAUAAUACCAAGAACUACUGCGGUUAUAGGUCAUGGAAUUACCACUAGACGCGCAGAGCAGCGGAAGACGUCUCGAUGUAGACGAACGCGUCGAGCAGUGCCGUGCAGUCGGCGGCGUCCUUCACGUCCUCGCACGGUUCGUCCUAGUGCUCCAGAUGCAGCACCUCCGAGGUAUCCACACGUACAGGGAGGAAGCGCCGCGUACCGAACUGCUAGGUUCGCGACGGCGGCUUGGCGAGGGCGAGAGGUGAGCGGCGGCUGCUCGUUUGCUGGUGGCAAAUUAGGUUAAGCCUAACCGUGCCCCCGCCCCUCAUUAUAUAGGCGUUAUGAUGGGCUUCUGACACCGAGGCCCAUCAUUAACCUUAAGCCCAGUCUAAUUUCGGAUCUAAUCCGAGUUAGGCUUCCUUCCCCUUAAGUGUGUGACCCUAUAGGUUCACGUACAAAUAGACAUAGCCCGAGUACUCUUACUUGGCCCAAUAAUUGACAGCGGCCUCUAGCAAGACAUGUCAACUCCUAUGCGCACGUAAAGAUCAUAUCAGACGAACCAUUGCAACAUUACGUACAUGUUGUUCCCUUUGUCUCACGAUAUUUGGUCUGGCUCUAAGCUGACCUCUCUUUCUCGAUACUGUGAAUUGGAAUCCUUUCAAUGGUUAACUCUUAACCCUAGCACGGCCAUGCAUUUCUUGAUCCAAUCACUCGAGGGGCCCAGAGAUAUCUCUCUCACAAAGAGAGGGACAAAUUCCAUCUUGACUGACCAUGCCUCACAGCAUGCUUCCUGACAAACCCAAAACUAACUUUAUAACUACCUAGUUACGGAAUAGCGUUUGAUAGUCCCUAAGUAAGUCAAUUCACAUCUUGAGAACAUGCGACUAUCUCAGGUCUAAGGAUACAGUAUUCAUGUUGCAAAAAGAGAACUAUAUUACAAUAUCUCACGUUGGGUCGGUCCAGCCUCAUGUCAUACAUGCGCCCACAUUAUUAGUUUAACAUCUCCAUGUUCAUGACUUGUGAAAUGUAGUGAUCAACUAAUACAUGUGCUAGUCAUCGACUCUGACUAGGGACAUCAUUUAGAAUAACCAUAUAAGUAAAGAAUCUCACAAAUAAUUCACAUAAUUGCUAAUCAAUACAAGGUGCCUUCCAUGGAUAUUCAAUUAAGCAAUAUAUAUCAUGGAUACAAAGAAAUAUGCUCAUCUCUAUGAUUAUCUCUAGGGCAUAUUUCUAACAGUCUCCCACUUGCACUAGAAUUAAUCUAGAAGAUAUCUAAUACCCAUAGAUCUCAUGUGUGCUUCAUGCUUAGGUUGUGGAAGAGGUUUUGUCAAAGGAUCAGCAACAUUCAAAUCCGUAUGUAUUUUGCAUAUCUUUAUCUCACCCCGCCUAAUGAAUUCCCGUAUGAGGUGAAACUUCCGCAGUACGUGUUUGUUUUUCUGGUGGUUCCUUGGCUCCUUAGCUUGCGCAAUAGCCCCAUUGUUGUCACAGUAGAGGUUCAAUGGACUAGAAGCAUUAGGAAACACACCAAGCUCGAUGAGGAACUUCCUUAUCCAAACACCUUCCUUCGCAGAUUCAGAAGCUGCAAUGUACUCGGCUUCUGUUGUAGAAUCAGUCACAGUCUCCUGUUUGGAACUCUUCCAACUAACAGCACCACCAUUUAUUGUGAACACAAAACCUGAUUGCGAUUUUAACUCGUCUGGGUCAGUUUAGAAGCUAGCAUCGGUGUAACCAGUAACAACGAGCUCCUCCUUACCCCCAUAUACCAGGAACAUAUCUUUAGUCCUUCUUAAGUACUUAAGAAUGCCUUUUACCGCUGUCCAGUGAUCCUCACCUGGAUCAGCCUGGUACCUACUCGUAGCACUUAUAGCGUAUGAAACAUCUGGGCAUGUACUUAUCAUGGCAUACAUGAUUGAUCCAAUUGCUGAGGCGUAUGGUACCUUACUCAUGCGCUCCCGCUCAUUAGCCGUCGCAGGACAUUGCAUCUGGCUAAGGUGUUUACCAUGUGACAUAGGUAUGAACCCUUUCUUGGACUGUUCCAUGUUGAACCGUUUCAAAACCUUGUCAAUGUACGUAUCUUGACUUAAUCCUAUAAGCCUCUUCGACCUAUCUCUAUAGAUCCUUAUGCCCAAAAUAUAUGCUGCUUCCCCUAAGUCCUUCAUAGAAAACCUCUUUUUCAGUGAAGCCUUGACGGACUCCAGCAUAGGAAUGUCAUUCCCAAUCAAUAAUAUGUCAUCCACAUACAAGAUCAGAAAUACAACAGCGCUCCCACUUUCCUUCUUGUAAACACAAGCUUCUUCUUCAUUCUGAUGAAAACCAAGCCCUUUGAUCACUUCAUCAAAACGAAUGUUCCAACUCCGAGACGCUUGCUUCAACCCAUAAAUGGAUUUCUGAAGUUUGCAUAUCUUUCCAGCAUUGAUCGGAUCGACAAAACCCUCGGGCUGUAUCAUAUACACGUCCUCAUCUAGGUUUCCAUUAAGGAAAGCUGUUUUGACAUCCAUCUGCCAAAUCUCAUAAUCGAAAUAUGCGGCAAUAGCUAGAAUGAUCCGAAUAGAUUUAAGCAUCGCUACUAGCGAGAAUGUCUCGUCAUAGUCAAACUCCUUGAACUUGUCGAAAACCCUUUGCAACAAGUCGAGCCUUAUAGAUGUGAACAUUUCCAUCCAUGUCUUUCUUCUUCUUAUAGAUCCAUUUGCAUUCUAUAGGUCUAACACCAUCAGGCGGGUCAACCAAGUUUCAAACUUGAUUUUCUCCCAUGGAAUCUAUCUCGGAUCUCAUGCCGACAUGCCAUUUCUCGGAAUCUGGGUCCAUCAUCGCUUCUGAAUAUGUUGCAGGUUCGUUGUUGUCUAACAACAACACUUCCCCAUUGCCCAACAAUAGCACUUCUCCUCGUGCCUCGCGAAGCCUUGCUGACCUUCGUGGUUGUGGUGGUGAUUCUCUUGCCAUAGACGUCUCAACUUGUUAUGCUACAUUAGCAUCACUUGUUGAAUCUUGUCCCACUGGCUCAUCCUGAACUUCUUCAAGAUACACCUUUUGUUUACUUUUCUCUCUUUUGAGAAACUCUUUCUCUAAGAACACACCGUUCCGGGCGACAAACACUUUGCCCUCUGACCGGUGGUAAAAGUAAUAUCCUAAAGUUUCCUUUGGAUAUCCCACGAACAUGCACUUGUCCGAUUUUGGAGUGAGUUUAUCUGACUGAAGUCGCUUGACGUAAACCUCACAACCCCAAAUCUUCAGAAAAGACAAACUGGGAGUCUUCCCAGUCCACAUCUCAUAUGGUGUCUUAACUACAGACUUAGACGAUACCCUAUUUAGUGUGAAAGUUGUUGUUUCUAGAGCGUAUCCCCAAAACGACAAAGGUAGGUCCGACUGGCUCAUCAUUGAUCGAACCAUAUCCAAUAAAGUCCGAUUACGUCGCUCAGUCACGCCAUUCCUCUGAGGCGUUCCAGACGGCGUAAGCUGUGGAACAAUUCCACAACUCUUUAGAUGAUUGCUAAACUCAUGACUCAAAUAUUCACCUCCACGAUCUGAUCAAAGUGCUUUAAUUUUCUUGCCACACUGAUUUUCUACUUCAUUUUGAAACUCUUUGAACUUUUCUAAGGAUUCAGACUUGUGUUUCAUUAAGUAGACAUACCCAUAUCUACUAAAAUCAUCAGUGAAGGUUAUGAAGUAUUGGAAUCCUCCCCUAGCUGUCGUACUCAUUGGUCCGCACACAUCAGUAUGUAUGAGUUCCAAUAAAUCUAAUGUCCUCUCCAGUAAACCCGUGAAAGGCGCCUUGGUCAUCUUACCAAGUAAGCAAGCUUCACAUGUCUCGUAUGAUUCAAAAUCAAACAAAGUUAAAAGCCCAUCAGAAUGAAGCUUCUUCAUGCGAUUCUCACUUAUAUGACCCAAACGACAGUGCCACAUGUAGGUAGGACUCAAAUCAUUAGGCCGAGGCCUUUUAGCACUAAUAUUAAAGAUAGGUGCAUCAUCAAGAUUUAAAAUGAAUAACCCAUUCAUAAUGGAUGCAAAAGCCACAAACAUGCCAUUCUUAGAGAUCACACAACCAUUGUUUUCACUCGCAAAUGAAUAACCAUCCUUCAUCAAACAUGAAGGAGACAUAAUGUUUCGACUCAUACUAGGAACUAGAUAACAAUUAUUUAACUCCAAAAUAAAUCCUGAUGGGAGGUGGAGUUGCAUCGUCUCGACGGUCAACGCAGCAACUCUUGCAUUAUUGCCUACCCGGAAAUCAACUUCUCCUCUUUUCACGCUUCUACUUCUUAUCAUUCCCUGCAUCGAAUUGCAAAUAUGGGCAACCGAUCCGGUAUCAAAUACCCAAGAAUUAAUAUAAGAAUCAGCAAGAAAAAUUUCUAUAAUGUGAAUAGCAAGUGUACCUGCUGCGGCUAUACCCUUACCGUCGCGAUCCUUAAUAGAGGCCAAGUACUGCUUGCAAUUCCUUUUCCAGUGACCAAGUUCUUUGUAAUAAAAGCACUCUGCAUCUGCAGCUGGUCCAGCCUUGGGCUUUUGAUUUGGCUUGGAUACUGUAUCCUUUGCCUUGCCCUUCUUCUUUUGAGAUUUACCCUUCUUAAAGUUGGGUUUGUUUUGGACCGCCAUCACAUGGCCGCUGCUGCCAGCGCUUUUCUUUAUGUCCCCCUCUGCUGUUUUCAGCAUGCCACAUAGUUCAUUGAGGCCCCUCUCCGCCCCAUGCAUAUGGUAGUUCGUGAUGAAGUUUCCAUAGCUGGGCGGAAGAGAUGCCAAAAUGAAGUCAGUGGCCAACUCUUGGCUUAUUGGGAAGCCUAGCUUCUCCAACCUCUGACUGUAACCAACCAUUUUGAUUACGUGUGGCCCAACUGCUGCGCCUUCUGCUAGCUUGCAUUCCAGAAAGGCUUUGGACACAUUGAACCUUUCAUUCCUAGCCUGAGUCUGGAACAUAUCCUUGAGCGCCACGAUCAUAUCGUGCACCUCAUGGUUUGUCUCAAACUGCAUCUGUAGCUCAGGCUCCAUGCAAGCAAGCAUUAGGCAACUCACUUCAAGAUUAGCAUCCAUUGCUUUCUUGUAAGCGGUUUUAGCUGCAGCAGUUGCAUUUUCACCAGGAUCCUCUGGCAGUGGGGUGUCUAGAACGUCUUCCUUUUUUUCAGCCCUGAGAACAAUUCUCAGGUUACGGAUCCAAUCCGUAUAGUUUGUUCCAUUUAACUUAUCCUUUUCAAGAAUUGAUCGCAAAGUAAAUGUUGGUGUGCUAGGUGCCAUUUAUCUACAACAAAAUAAUGCAAAAUACUAAGACAAAAAUAUCCAUGACAGAGUAAAUCAUAUUAAACAUUUAAUAGUCUACUCCCACUAAAAUCAAUAUCCCUCGAUUGCUACUUAGUGAUUCAGAACCCACAACUAACAAGUCUACUAGUGAGCUUUAGCAUCACCGCUAGAAGACAAGGUAGAUCGGUAAGCAACUCCUUGCUAAUCAUAUCAUAUAUAUGACUUCUGUUGUUGGGUGACAUCUCUAUGUCUCGGCUCCCAACCUUAUGCCCCAAAGUCCUUAACCAUUAAGCUGACUUUGUUUAAGUUAACCAACCCUUUCUGCAGUUCGUAUCCGAUACAAACCUAUCUAGUCAAGGAAAACUGGUGGCACCCUAAUUUCAUAGACCCACCACCAAUUGUACAAGACUUAUGAUAGUGCAAGGAUUGGAGAGGCAUUUAAGUUUAAACAUUUAUGAGGGAUCGUCCUACUUAUAUCAUCGCACGCAAGGACAUAUAUGCAAUAUGAACAAGUAGAACAUUAAGAAUGGCAUUCACACAACAGUUGUGAUUCGGUAUGGCUUGCUGUCACAUGGUGAUCCCCAUCUCCAAUAAUCUGUCCAUCACGAUGAUCUCCAUCUCCAUGAUAUAGGUAUGCCAUCCUUCAGGUGAUGAGUCCUUCAAGACCUAUCUAACGUAUGCUGGUAAACAAAUUACAUAUACGCUUUGGAACAUCACAUGUUGACACGCAGGUCAUUACAUUAAAUUUGGACAAUACAUGUGGCUCCAGCCGUAUUGCCCUGGUCACGACACGCAGGUCAUGAAUAAUUCAUUAAUAUGCAUCAUAUACACACAAUAGCCAUACCGAUCACAAGAUGUCCUGCAAAAACAGGUUAGACAAACACGUUUCUAUAUGUUCGCCACUACAGCAGAUAGCCACAACAGACAACAUCGUAUGUAUGAAAAUUCCACUGAAAAUCUCAUGCGGUUGAUCAAAUCAACCCAAAUCCGAGACUUUCGACCCGAAGAAGAUUACACUCAUGACGUCGAUCUGUUACGUCAAUCUACUGGUUGUGUACGCAGUUAGCCCCGAUGGUGAUUCCAGCCGGUAGGAGCAAGUCGCGCACAUAACAGAGAAGGACGAACUAAUCUCUUCAGUCAUAUCCGAUGUAAUCUACUUCAACCCUUUAUAACCAAUUGAUCUAAUCAAACCGUGCAUCAAGUAGAUCCAUCUCAUGAACCUAGAUCCAGACCUAAAACUACGCAGAACCUGCUCCGAUACCACUGAAGGAUUACGGGGAGGCUAGCGCAACUGAAGGAUUACGGGGAGGCUACGCUAGCGCAAAACAAAAUUUUCAACCCCAUAAUACCAAGAACUACUGCGGUUAUAGGUCAUGGAAUUACCACUAGAUGCGCAGAGCAGCGGAAGACGUCUCGAUGUAGACGAACGCGUCGAGCAGUGUCGUGCAGUCGUCGGCGUCCUUCACGUCCUCGCACGGUUCGUCCUAGUGCUCCAGAUGCAGCACCUCCGAGGUAUCCACACGUACAGAGAGGAAGCGCCGCAUACCGAACUGCUAGGUUCGCGACGGCGGCUUGGCGAGGGCGAGAGGUGAGCGGCGGCUGCUCGUUUGAUGGUGGCAAAUUAGGUUAAGCCUAACCGCGCCCCCGCCCCUCAUUAUAUAGGCGUUAUGGUGGGCUUCUGACACCGAGGCCCAUCAUUAACCCUAAAGCCCAGUCUAAUUUCGGAUCUAAUCCGAGUUAGGCUUCCUUCCCCUUAAGUGUGUGACCCUAUAGGUUCACGUACAAAUAGACAUAGCCCGAGUACUCUUACUUGGCCCAAUAAUUGACAGCAGCCUCUAGCAAGACAUGUCAACUCCUAUGCGCACGUAAAGAUCAUAUCAGACGAACCAUUGCAACAUUACGUACAUGCUGUUCCCUUUGUCUCACGAUAUUUGGUCUGGCUCUAAGCUGACCUCUCUUUCUCGAUACUGUGAAUUGGAAUCCUUUCAAUGGUUAACUCUUAACCCUAGCACGGCCAUGCAUUUCUUGAUCCAAUCACUCGAGGGGCCCAGAGAUAUCUCUCUCACAAAGAGAGGGACAAAUUCCAUCUUGACUGACCAUGCCUCACAGCAUGCUUCCUGAUAAACCCAAAACUACCUUUAUAACUACCCAGUUACGGAAUAGCGUUUGAUAGUCCCUAAGUAAGCCAAUUCACAUCUUGAGAACAUGCGACAAUCUUAGGUCUAAGGAUACAGUAUUCAUGUUGCAAAAAGAGAACUAUAUUACAAUAUCUCACGUUGGGUCGGUCCAGCCUCAUGUCAUACAUGCGCCCACAUUAUUAGUUUAACAUCUCCAUGUUCAUGACUUGCGAAAUGUAGUCAUCAACUAAUACAUGUGCUAGUCAUCGACUCUGACUAGGGACAUCAUUUAGAAUAACCAUAUAAGUAAAGAAUCUCACAAACAAUUCACAUAAUUGCUAAUCAAUACAAGGUGCCUUCCAUGGAUAUUCAAUUAAGCAAUAUAUAUAUCAUGGAUACAAAGAAAUAUGCUCAUCUCUAUGAUUAUCUCUAGGGCAUAUUUCUAACAGAUCCCUCACGACCCCGUACAAUCUUGAGCCAGGUCACCAACAAGUCCUUCGUGUGAUCACCGCACUCCAAUCGCCACCAAGCCAUCUAGGUGAUGUCGAUCACCAAGAGUAACAAGCUACAGACUUUCACUUGACUAAGAGAAGCCUAAUGCAUAUGGUGUGUGCUCUAGGUGGCUCUGAUGCGCACUAAUGAGGUCCUAACACGAGAUUAUGAUUUUCUAAUCACCUCACUAGGCUUUUAGGGCUUGCAAUGCACUAGCAAAGAACACAAGUGUAUGUGGGCUGCAAGACACUUAAUGUGGCUAGUGGAGGGGUAUAAAUACCCCCAACAACCAAAACUAGUCGUUAUUGUAGGCUGCUGCGCAUGAGCGCACCAGACAAUCCGGUGCGCCACCGGUGCGCUGCAAUGGCUAGUCCUGACAUCUAGCCGUUGCUCUGACUGUGCACCGGACAAUGAACACUGAGUGUCCGGUAUGCACCAAACGGCCGAUGCGCAGCUAAAAAUUGACUCUGCGAACUCAUUGCUCUCGGGUUUUCUCGGGGGCAGAGGACCUGGCCCCACUGUUAGGGGUCACACCGGAUAGUCCGGUGCACACCGGACAGCCCGGUGCCCCUUAGACAGCAAAGCCAACUUCUUUUCCUUAGGUUUUUCUAACCUGAUUUCGUUCUAACUCGUGAGUGUGUUAUAGAGUGACACCUAGCACUAGUUGUGAGUGUGAACAUGCACCAACACUACACUAGAAUUCUCUUGGUCAAACUACUCAUCCACAACCCCUCUUUAUAAUACGGCUAAAGUAAAAAUAUAAGACCUAACUCUACACCAAGUGUCCACAACUCCUUUGACACUUGGAAUACGAAGACCUUCAUCUUUUGAUUCGCCUUUUUCAGCCGUUGCUUCAAGUUCUUAUCUCAGGGAUUGUUUUCACCAUUGCAGCGCAACCUCCUGUAAUGCGACCUAACUUACCAUUUGCUCUGCAAAACACACGUUAGUCACAUAUAAUCUUAAGUUGUCAUUAAUCACUAAAACCAACCAGGGCCUAGAUUCUUUCAGUGGGGAAUGCAUGUCUUUGAUUCUUCAUGAGCAGGCAUGAAGUGAUCACAUGGUCCAUAUUAUUGCAGCCAAAGCAUCUCCUCAUCAUUUCAUCCUUGUCUUUGUGUGGACAAGACGCAAUGAAGUGGCCUGGUUCCUUGCAUUUGAAGCAUCUCCUUUUUCCUCUUCCCUUUUUGCUCUUGGAGGAUAUAAAGAGAUGAUAAGUGCAAACAACAUGACUAAUUGAAUCUUUACCUUUUUCUUUCUUCAUGUUGAUUGCUUCAUCUAUUGCUUUAGGAACUUCCUUCUUGUGGAGUUUUACACUUGUUGUGGUUUCACCAUUCUCAAGCUUAUUCACCAUGCGUUCAUGGAUAUCUUGAGGAGAUUGAGCAAUGUGUCUUCUCCUUAGUUGCUUUGCGUUCUUGUUCCUUUCUUUAUUUAUGAGAAACUUUUCUUUUGAUCCUGCAGCUUGAAGCUCAGUCAAAAAUUGGCUUUCUUUUGAGUAACAGGUGUUAGCACAUGGUGAUAUAUUAUAUAAUUGUGCACAUGUGCAAGAAUGAGGUUACAUGAAUUUAAACUCACAAUUACAACCUCAUGAGCAACAUCAAGCAUGAUAUGUGUAUCCAAAAGAUUAUCAUGAUAAUAAGACAAUAUAUCAUAUUUUUCACUAAGAGCAAGUUUCUCAAGAUUUAGCAAUUCUACUUGCCUCUUAAGUAUGGCGUUUUCAAUUUUAAGUUGAGCAAUACAAGAUAAAGCAUCAUCACUACUUUUCUCUAUUAGAACUGAAUCAUACCGUUGGACCAAAUCAUCAUGAGAGCACCUUAGCUCCUCAUGUUCUUUGGUCAUCUUCUCCAGGCUAUCGUUAGUUUCGAUGAGUGUCUUCUCUAGCUUGAGAAGCAUCUCACCUUGUUCUUUAUUUCUUCUCAACAAUUUCAUCAGGAGCAUCUUGUAGUUUUUGUUGAGAUUGGUGUAGAGCUAGGGAUUUUUUUCCUCGAACACAUCAUCGGUCUAUUUUCCCUAUCAUCAUUAUUAGUGGAAGCAAUAUGGAAAAAUGUACCUUGUGAUGAUGUGGAUUCAUUCUCGCUAUCAUCAUGCCCCUCCUCAUCGUCGCUUUUGUCUCCACUAUCAUCGUUAGCAAUAAGACAUUUAUAACUAGUAGGAGAUGAACCUAUCGGUGAGGUCGAUUCAUCGCUUGGUGUCCAUCAUUCUUGUUCUUCUCCCUUGGACAUGUUAGUACCACAAGCAAUAGAGGGAGCAGAAGCAGUGCAUAUGGACUUAAAAAUUUUCAACUUAAUUCUAGUCGAUACAUCAUGAGCAUCAACAAAUAAAUCACUAUCACUACUCAUGACGACAAAAUAAGCACCUUUAGAGAGUCAACUAAGAUGUUGCAAGCAUGGUGAUUGAGAGAUAAACUUCUUAGUUCAACCUUAGAAGGAUUUUUACUAAUAUCGGAGGGAAAAAUACUUCUACUAAAAAUCUGUCUCAAAUCAGGAUCAAUAUACAUGAAAGCAUUUAAUCGAGACAGACCAAGAUUUAUAAUUAGAACCAUCGCCUAAAAGAAGUUCAAGAGUUACCUCUUGUGACGACAUCGUCAUCUCCGGACGGCUAAGCUCACACUGGACAUACCUACCUCUAAUACCAAUUAAAAGUUCCCUUUGUCCGGGAACACGAUCUAGAUGUCGCCUAGAGGGGGUGAAUAGGCGAAUAAAAAUUAACACUUAAAACUGGAAAUUCUUACUCUACUCGGAGACUGGAUCACAAUGGAAUGAAAGACUCUUCGAGUAGGUCGCAACGGAAUUGAAGUUCCUGUCUCAAAAUACCCUGCACCUAAAAGCAUGCUUGUACCACAGAUAAGUAUUGAAGUGCAAGUAUAAAAAGCAAUUAAGAUAUAGAGAUAGCACACAACACAGAGCAGAGCACAAAGACACAGGGAUUUAUCCUGAGGUAUGGCCAAGCCUGAAAUGCUUGUCUAGUCCUCGUUGGAGUUAGCCACACCUUGGAUUGGAGUCUAGUUCAACUCCUUCCUCUGGUUGCUCAGCUCUGUCAGUAUGAUAGAUAGAGCCUUCCACUAUGUUGACGUCAGUUACAAUGAUGUCGUGGCUCCUUACAAUCUUCUAGACAGCACUCCGGCAGAGUAACAAUGCACUCAAGAUUUUUCUCUAGCUCUCAGCAACACUUCCCCUCUUUCUAAGGCUUAUAACUUCGCCUCUACACAAACUAGAGAGAUACACAAAAGAGGGAGAUAAAGAAUUGACCAUAAUGAUGUAUGGACUUGUUGGCUGCACUUGUGUCUUCAAAAGGGUGCCUAGGGGUCCUUUUAUAGCUCCAAAAGAUCCCCUAGUCAUUGCCCCCUUUCCAUGCAAAGAUCUCAAAUCUAGAAGAUAACUGCCACUCUGCGGGGGCACCGGAUUGUCCAGCGCCAGCACCGGACUGUCCGGUGCGCCUCCAUCCAAAUAGGUCACAGAAUCGACGAUUGGCUACCUUCCACUUUUGUGGGGCACCAGACUGUCUGGUGCUCCAAUCUUCCCAUUGGCGCAGCUGACGUGUCAACUAGACGUUGCCUCUGAGACGCACUAGACUGUCCAGUGACCGGCCCCAGACUGUCUGGUGCAUGGGGCCAGACUGUUCGACAUGUUUAGCCAAGACACCCGAGGCUGGGUAGUUGGUCGUCUAGGACACCAGACUAUUCGAUGCACAUUGGACUGUCUAGUGAGGUGCACCAAACUAUCCGGUGCUACCCAGACAGCAGCACACUUGUGUGCUUUCCUCUUCUUUCUUCCCAUUCAUCUUCAACUUUUGUGAGGACUUUCCUGUGACUUAGACAAAUACUUUUAGAGUAUAAUUCAAUUGAAUAAGUCCUAGAAGAUUACCUCUUUUCAUAUCUUCUCCCAUCUUUUCUGUUUCACCUCAAGCAAAGCUCUACUUUCUAAUGACCGUGUUUUUCGUCUUGAGCUUGAUCUUGAGCCUUAUGACUUACACCACAUAAUAAUAGAUGUUACCUCAUGGGUUGUAAAUCAUGUUCUUAGGUGAUGAUCCUUGAUGCACCGUAGCUCUUCUCAACUUGAUCAACCUUGAUUUAGCAAGUCAUCUCCUUCACGCCUAGCUUUGGGUUCCUCGGCCUCCUUGACCUUCUCCCGUGCACUCGGUACCUCAGAGCACUUCUUGCUUCCAUCUUUAGCUUGAUCAGUUGUCUCUGAAUUACGCAAUGUCCAUUAUUCAUAAAUAAUUCAGUAAUGUCCAUCUUUCUUGUGACGUCCAUUAUUCAUAAAUAAUUCAACCUUUGGACCAUCACUCUUGAACACUUGUGUUGAAAUUUACAAGCUUUACACUAAGCACCUGUCCAACACUGAACGCGCUUGUCAAUCCUUUAAUUGGGUUGUCAUCCAAACCACCAAAACCCACAUGAGAGCUUUCACAUUGUCUUGGACUUCAUCAGUCUACUCAACAAUCUAUUUUCCCCAGAGGCAUGGCGGAUAAUGUAUUCGUGUCGUUCAGAUGGCAUUUCUUCAAUCACUGCUGAAGCCUUUUCUUAUGUAGACCCUUCAUCUUUAGAGACCUCAGCCUUCUCUUGUUCCUUCUCCCUAAUAGCAUUUGUUAUGGAGUAAGCCUUCAAAGUGCUAGUCUUGUCCACGCUAGGAGAAAAUUCCGUGCUCGCAGCCACCUUGAACCUAGUUGUCAGACUCUCAGCAAUAGGCUGCUGAGAGGAGUAUCAAUAACCUUCGGCGCUGUAGGCAACUGAAAGUUGCCUAGAGGGGGGGUGAAUAGGGCGAAAUUGAAAUUCUCAAAAAUAAUCACAACUACAAGCCGGGUUAGCAUUAGAAAUAUAAUUGAGUCCGCGAGAGAGGGUGCAAAACAAAUCGCAAGAGAACAAGGGGAUUGACACACGGAUUUGUUUUACCGAGGUUCGGUUCUUGCAAACCUACUCCCCGUUGAGGAGGCCACAAAGGCCGGGUCUCUUUCAACCCUUCCCUCUCUCAAACGGUCCCUCGGACCGAGUGAGCUUUCUCUUCUCAAUCACUUGGAACACAAAGUUCCCGCAAGGACCACCACACGAUUGGUGUCUCUUGCCUCAAUUACAAGUGAGUGUUUGAUCACAAGAAAGAAUCAAGAAAGAAGAAAGCAAUCCAAGCGCAAGAGCUCGAAAGAACACAAGCAAAUCACUCUCUCUAAUCACUAGGGCGUUGUGUGGAAUUUGGAGAGGAUUUGAUCUCUUUGGUGUGUCUAGAAUUGAAUGCUAGAGCUCUUGUAAGUAGUUGGGAAGUGGAAAACUUGGAUGCAAUGAAUGGUGGGGUGGUUGGGGUAUUUAUAGCCCCAACCACCAAACUUGACCGUUGGUGGAGCUAUCUGUCGUAUGGUGCACCGGACAGUCCGGUGCACACCGGACAUGUCCGGUGCGACAGCCACGUCACCAUAGCCGUUGCAAUUUGACCGUUGGGGUUCUGACUUCUGGGCCCGUCUUGAUGUCCGGUGGCGCACCGGACAUGUACUGUAGAGUGUCCGGUGCGCCUGCUCCGCGUGCCUGACGACUGUGUGUUUCUGGCGCGCAUUAAAUGCGCCUGCAGGUGACCGUUGGCGCAAAGUAGCCAUUGCCCCGCUGUUACACCGGACAGUCCGGUGUACACCGGACAGUCCGGUGAAUUUUAGCGGAGCAGCCGCAAGUGAAAACCCGAGGCUGGCGAGUUCCUGAGGCCGUGUACACCGGACAGUCCGGUGAAUUAUAGCGGAGUGGCCUUUGGAAAUUCCCGAGAGUGAAGAGUUUGAAGUCGGAGUCCCCUGGUGCACCGGACAUGUCCGGUGGCACACCGGACAGUCCUGUGCGCCAGACCAGAGGUGCCUUCGGUUGACCCUUGCUCUUUUGUUGAACCCAACACUUGGUCUUUUUAUUGACUAAGUAUUAACCUUUUGCACCUGUAUAACUUAUACACUAGAGCAAACUAGUUAGUCCAAUAUUUGUGUUGGGCAAUUCAACCACCAAAAUUAUUUAGGAGCUAGAUGUAAGCCUAAUUCCCUUUCAAUCUCCCCCUUUUUGGUGAUUGAUGCCAACACAAACCAGAGCAAAUAUAAAAGUGCAUAAUUGAACUAGUUUGCAUAAUGUAAGUGCAAAGGUUGCUUGGAAUUGAGCCAAUAUAAAUACUUACAUGAUGUGCAUGGAUUGCUUCUUUGUUUUUAACAUAUUGGACCACAUUUGCACCACAUGUUUUGUUUUUGCAAAUCCUUUUGUAAAUUCUUUUCAAAGUCCUUUUGCAAGAUAGUCAAAGGUAAAUGAAUAAGAAUUUUGAGAGGCAUUUUCAAGAUUUGAAAUUUUCUCCUUUUGUUUGAAAUGCUUUUCCUUUGACUAAACAAAACUCCCCCUCAAAUAAAUUCUCCUCUUAGUGUUCAAGAGGGUUUUAGGACAACAAUUUUGAAAAUACUACUUGCUCCCCCUUUAGAACACAAAGAGAUACCAAUUUUGAAAUUUGCCAUCCAAUUGAAAAUCAUUAAUUUUUUUUAAAAAAAUUAGGGUGGUGGUGCGGUCCUUUUGCUUUGGGCUCAUAUUUUCUCCCCCUUUGGCAUGAAUCGCCAAAAACGGAAUCAUUAGAGCCCUUUUGUUAACUAUUUUCUCCCCUUUGGCAAAUAAAACAUAUGAGUGAAGAUUAUACCAAAGACGGAGAGUGGAGCGGAGUGACGGCGAAGGAUGAGUAGUAGAGUGGAGUCGAAGCCUUGUCUUCGCCGAAGACUCCAAUUCCCUUUCAAUAUACCUAUGACUUGGUUUGAAAUACACUUGAAUACACAUUAGUCAUAGCAUAUAAAAGAGAUAUGAUCAAAGGUAUACUUAUGAGCUAUGUGUGCAAGUUUAGCAAAAGAAAUUCCUAGAAUCAAGAAUAUUAAGCUCAUGCCUAAGUCUGGUUAAAGAUUGUUCAUCAAGUGGCUUGGUAAAGAUAUCGGCUAAUUGAUCUUUAGUGUUGAUGUAUGAAAUCUCGAUAUCCCCUUUUUGUUGGUGAUCCCUAAGAAAAUGAUACCGAAUGGCUAUGUGUUUAGUGCGGCUAUGCUCAACGGGAUUAUCCGCCAUGCGGAUUGCACUCUCAUUAUCACAUAGAAGAGGAACUUUGGUUAGUUUGUAACCGUAGUCCCGCAGGGUUUGCCUCAUCCAAAGCAAUCGCGCGCAACAAUGGCCUGCGGCAAUGUACUCGGCUUCGGCGGUAGAAAGAGCGACCGAAUUUUGCUUCUUUGAAGCCCAAGACACCAAGGAUCUUCCCAAGAACUGGCAAGUCCCCGAUGUGCUCUUCCUAUUAAUCUUACACCCUGCCCAAUCGGCAUCCGAAUAACCAAUCAAAUCAAAUGUGGAUCCCCGAGGGUACCAAAGCCCAAACUUAGGUGUGUAAGCCAAAUAUCUCAAGAUUCGUUUUACGGCCGUAAGGUGAGAUUCCUUAGGGUCGGAUUGGAAUCUUGCACACAUGCAAACUGAAAGCAUAAUGUCCGGUCGAGAUGCACAUAAAUAAAGCAAUGAACCAAUCAUCGACCGGUAUACCUUUUGAUCCACGGACUUACCUCCCGUGUCGAGGUCGAGAUGCCCAUUGGUUCCCAUGGGAGUCUUGAUGGGCUUGGCAUCCUUCAUUCCAAACUUGCUUAAAAUGUCUUGAGUAUACUUCGUUUGGCUAAUGAACGUGACCUCUUGGAGUUGCUUGACUUGAAAUCCUAGAAAAUACUUCAACUCCCCCAUCAUAGACAUCCCGAAUUUCUGUGUCAUGAUCCUACUAAAUUCUUCACAUGUAGAUUUGUUAGUAGACCCAAAUAUAAUAUCAUCAACAUAAAUUUGGCAUACAAACAAAUCAUUAUCAAGUGUUUUGGUGAAUAAAGUAGGAUCGGCUUUGCCGACUUUGAAGCCAUUUGCAAUAAGGAAAUCUCUAAGGCAUUCAUACCACGCUCUUGGGGCUUGCUUGAGCCCAUAAAGCGCCUUAGAGAGCCUAUAAACAUGGUUAGGGUACUCACUGUCUUCAAAGCCGGGAGGUUGCUCAACGUAGACCUCUUCCUUGAUUGGUCCAUUGAGGAAGGCACUCUUCACGUCCAUUUGGUAGAGCUUGAAGCCAUGGUAAGUAGCAUAGGCCAAUAAUAUACGAAUUGACUCAAGCCUAGCUACGGGUGCAUAGGUUUCACCAAAAUCCAAACCUUCGACUUGUGAAUACCCCUUGGCCACGAGUCGAGCUUUGUUCCUUGUCACCACACCAUGCUCGUCUUGUUUGUUGCGGAAGACCCACUUGGUUCCUACAACAUUUUGGUUAGGACAUGGAACUAAGUGCCAUACCUCGUUCCUUGUGAAAUUGUUGAGCUCCUCUUGCAUCGCCAUCACCCAAUCCGCAUCUUGGAGUGCUUCCUCUACCCUGUGUGGCUCAAUAGAGGAAACAAAAGAGUAAUGCUCACAAAAAUGUGCAACCCGAGAUCGAGUAGUUACCCCCUUAUUAAUGUCGCCGAGGAUGGUGUCGACGGGGUGAUCUCGUUGGAUUGCUUGGUGGACUCUUGGGUGUGGCGGCCUUGGUUCUUCAUCCUCCUUGUCUUCAUCAUUUGCAUCUCCCCCUUGAUCGUUGCCGUCAUUUUGAGGUGGCUCAUCUUCUUGAUCUUCUUGUUCAACAUCUUGAGCCUCAUCCUCAAUUUGAGUUGGUGGAGAUGCUUGCAUGGAGGAGGAUGGUUGAUCUUGUGCAUGUGGAGGCUCUUUGGAUUCCUUAGGACACACAUCCCCAAUAGACAUGUUCCUUAGCGCUAUGCACGGAGCCUGUUCUUCACCUAUCUCAUCAAGAUCAACUUGCUCUACUUGAGAGCCGUUAGUCUCAUCAAACACAAUGUCACAAGAAACUUCAACAAGUCCUGAGGACUUGUUAAAGACUCUGUAUGCCCUUGUGUUUGAGUCAUAACCUAGUAAAAAACCUUCUACAGUUUUAGGAGCAAAUUUUGAUUUUCUACCUCUCUUAACAAGAAUAAAGCAUUUGCUACCAAAAACUCUAAAAUAUGAAAUAUUGGGCUUUUUACCGGUUAGGAGUUCAUAGGAUGUCUUCUUGAGGAUUCGGUGAAGGUAUAACCGGUUGAUGGCAUAGCAGGCGGUGUUGACCGCCUCGGCCCAAAACCGAUCCGGUGUCUUGUACUCAUCAAGCAUGGUUCUUGCCAUGUCCAAUAGAGUUCAAUUCUUCCUCUCCACUACAUCAUUUUGUUGUGGAGUGUAGGGAGAAGAGAACUCAUGCUUGAUGCCCUCCUCCUCAAGGAAGCCUUCAAUUUGAGAGUUCUUGAACUCCGUCCCAUUGUCGCUUCUAAUUUUCUUGAUCCUUAAGCCGAACUCAUUUUGAGCCCGUCUCAAGAAUCCCUUUAAGGUCUCUUGGGUAUGAGAUUUGUCCUGCAAAAAGAACACCCAAGUGAAGCGAGAAUAAUCAUCCACAAUAACUAGACAGUACUUACUCCCGCCGAUGCUUAUGUAAGCGAUCGGGCCGAAUAAAUCCAUGUGUAGGAGUUCCAAUGGCCUGUCACUAGUCAUGAUGUUCUUGUGUGGAUGAUGAGUGCCAACUUGCUUCCCGGCCUGGCAUGCGCUACAAAUCCUGUCUUUCUCAAAAUGAACAUUGGUUAGUCCUAAAAUGUGUUCCCCCUUUAGAAGCUUAUGAAGAUUCUUCAUUCCAACAUGGGCUAGUCGGCGGUGCCAGAACCAACCCAAGUUAGUCUUAGCAACCAAGCAAGUGUCGAGUUCAGCUCUAUCAAAAUCUACCAAGUAUAGCUGACCCUCUAACACUCCCUUAAAUGCUAUUGAAUCAUCACUUCUUCUAAAGACAGUAACACCUACAUCAGUAAAUAGACAGUUGUAGCCCAUUUGACAUAAUUGGGAUACGGAAAGCAAAUUGUAAUCUAAAGAAUCUACAAGAAAAACAUUGGAAAUGGUAUGGUCAGGUGAUAUAGCAAUUUUACCCAAUCCUUUGACCAAACCUUGAUUUCCAUCCCCGAAUGUGAUAGCUCGUUGGGGAUCUUGGUUUUUCUCAUAUGAGGAGAACAUCUUUUUCUCUCCUGUCAUAUGGUUUGUGCACCCGCUGUCGAGUAUCCAGCUUGAGCCCCCGGAUGCAUAAACCUACAAAACAAUUUUAGUUCUUGACUUUAGGUACCCAAACGGUUUUGGGUCCUUUGGCAUUAGAAACAAGAACUUUGGGUACCCAAACACAAGUCUUGGAGCCCUUGUGUUUGCCCCCAACAAACUUGGCAACUACUUUGUCGGAUUUGUUAGUCAAAACAUAAGAUGCAUCAAAAGUUUUGAAUGAAAUAGCAUGAUCAUUUGAUGCAUUAGGAGUUUUCUUUCUAGGCAACUUGGCAUGGGUUGGUUGCCUAGAGCUAGAUGUCUCACCCUUAUACAUAAAAGCAUGGUUAGGGCCAGAGUGAGACUUCCUAGAAUGAGUUCUCCUAAUUUUGCUCUCAGGAUAGCCGACAGGGUACAAAAUGUAACCCUCGUUAUCCUGAGGCAUGGGAGCCUUGCCCUUAACAAAGUUAGAUAAAUUCUUUGGAGGGGCAUUAAGUUUGACAUUGUCUCCCCUUUGGAAGCCAAUGCCAUCCUUGAUGCCAGGGCGUCUUCCAUUAUAGAGCAUACUUCUAGCAAAUUUAAACUUUUCAUUUUCUAAGUUAUGCUCAGCAAUUUUGACAUCUAAUAAUGCUAUAUGAUCAUUUUGUUGUUUAAUUAAAGCCAUGUGAUCAUGAAUAGCAUUGAUAUCAACAUCUCUACAUCUAGUACAAAUAGAAACAUGCUCAACAUUAGAUGUAGAGGAAUUGCAAGAUUUUAAUUCAAUAACCUUAGCAUGUAACAAAUCAUUUUUAGUUCUAAGGUCGGAAAUAGUAGUUUUGCAAACAUCAAAAUCCUUAGCCUUAGCAAGCAAUUUUUCAUUCUCAAUUUUAAGGCUAGCAAGAGAAUCAUUCAAUUCCUUAAUCUUAGCAAGCAAAUCAUCAUUAUCAUUGGGAAUUGAAGUAUCACAAACAUGAGAAUCAACCUUAGCAAUUAAUCUAGCAUUUUCAUUUCUAAGGUUGUCAAUAGUGUCAUGGCAUGUGCUUAGCUCACUAGAUAAUUUGUUACAUUUUUCUACCUCUAGAGCAUAAGCAUUUUUAACCUUAACAUGUUUCUUAUUUUCCUUCAUUAGGAAGUCCUCUUGGGAGUCCAAGAGAUCGUCCUUUUCAUGGAUGGCACUAAUUAGCUCAUUUAAUUUUUCUUUUUGUUCCAUGUUAAGGUUGGCAAAAAGGAUACGCAAAUUAUCUUCCUCACCACUAGCAUUAUCAUCACUAGAAGAUUCAUAUUUAGUGGAGGAGUUAGAUUUAACCUUCUUCCUUUUGCCGUCCUUUGCCAUGAGGCACUUGUGGCCGACGUUGGGGAAGAGAAGUCCCUUGGUGACGGCGAUGUUGGCGGCGUCCUCUUCUGAGGAGGACUCGGUGGAGCUCUCGUCGGAGUCCCACUCGCGGCACACGUGGGCAUCGCCGCCCCUCUUCUUGUGGUACCUCUUCUUUUCUCUUCUCUUGCCCUUCUUGUCGUUAUCCCUGUCACUGUCACUUGACAAUGGACAUUUAGCAAUAAAGUGACCGGGCUUACCACACUUGUAGCAAACCUUCUUGGAACAGGAUUUGUAAUCCUUCCCCUUCCGUUGCUUGAGGAUUUGCCGAAAGCUUUUUAUGAUUAAGGCCAUCUCCUCAUUGUCGAGCUUGGAGGCGUCAAUUGGUUGUCUACUUGGUGUAGACUCCUCCUUCUUCUCUUCCGUCGCCUUAAAUGCCACCGGUUGCGCCUCGGACGUGGAGGGUUCGUCAAGCUCGUUGAUCUUCUUUGAACCUUUAAUCAUACAUUCAAAGCUCACAAAAUUCCCGAUAACUUCCUCGGGUGUCAUUAGUGGGUAUCUAGGAUUACCACGAAUUAAUUGAACUUGAGUGGGGUUAAGGAAAAUGAGUGCUCUUAGGAUAACCUUAACCACCUCGUGGUCGUCCCACUUUUUGCUCCCGAGGUUGCGCACUUGGUUCACCAAGGUCUUGAGCCGGUUGUACAUAUCUUGUGGCUCCUCCCUUUGGCGAAGACGGAAGCGACCGAGCUCCCCCUCGAUCGUUUCCCGCUUGGUGAUCUUGGUGAGUUCAUCACCCUCGUGCGCGGUUUUGAGAAGGUCCCAAAUCUCCUUUGCAUUCUUCAACCCUUGUACCUUGUUGUAUUCCUCCUUACUUAGAGAAGCAAGGAGUAUGGUUGUAGCUUGAGAGUUGAAGUGCUCGAUUUGGGCCACCUAGUCCUCAUCAUAGUCUUCAUCCCCUACGGAUGGUACCUGUACACCAAACUCAACAACAUCCCAUAUACUUUUGUGGAGUGAGGUUAGAUGAAAUUUCAUUAAAUCACUCCACCUAGCAUAAUCUUCGCCAUCAAAGGUUGGCGGUUUGCCUAAUGGAACGGAAAGUAAUGGAGUAUGUCUAGAUGUACGGGGAUAGUGUAAGGGGAUCUUACUAAACUUCUUGCGCUCUUGGCGCUUAGAAGUUACGGACGGCGCAUCGGAGUCGGAGGCGGAUGUUGAUGAAGUGUCGGUCUCGUAGUAGACCACCUUCCUCAUCCUCUUGUGCUUGUCGCCUUUCCGAUGCGACUGGUGGGAAGAAGAUUUUUCCUUCUUCUCCUUGUGGUGUGAGGAAGAUCUUUUCUCCUUUCGUUUGGAGGAGUCCUUCUUCUUCUCCUUCCUCUUGGUGCGGGACUCUUCCGAUGAAGUGCUCCCUUUGCUCGUAGUGGGCUUGUCGCCGGUCUCCAUCUCUCUCUUGGUGUGAUCUCCCGACAUCACUUCGAGCGGUUAGGCUCUAAUGAAGCACCGGGCUCCGAUACCAAUUGAAAGUUGCCUAGAGGGGGGGGGUGAAUAGGGCGAAAUUGAAAUUCUCAAAAAUAAUCACAACUACAAGCCGGGUUAGCGUUAGAAAUAUAAUUGAGUCCGCGAGAGAGGGUGCAAAACAAAUCGCAAGAGAAUAAGGGGAUUGACACGUGGAUUUGUUUUACCGAGGUUCGGUUCUUGCAAACCUACUCCCCGUUGAGGAGGCCACAAAGGCCGGGUCUCUUUCAACCCUUCCCUCUCUCAAACGGUCCCUCGGACCGAGUGAGCUUUCUCUUCUCAAUCACUUGGAACACAAAGUUCCCGCAAGGACCACCACACGAUUGGUGUCUCUUGCCUCAAUUACAAGUGAGUGUUUGAUCACAAGAAAGAAUCAAGAAAGAAGAAAGCAAUCCAAGCGCAAGAGCUCGAAAGAACACAAGCAAAUCACUCUCUCUAAUCACUAGGGCGUUGUGUGGAAUUUGGAGAGGAUUUGAUCUCUUUGGUGUGUCUAGAAUUGAAUGCUAGAGCUCUUGUAAGUAGUUGGGAAGUGGAAAACUUGGAUGCAAUGAAUGGUGGGGUGGUUGGGGUAUUUAUAGCCCCAACCACCAAACUUGACCGUUGGUGGAGCUGUCUGUCGUAUGGUGCACCGGACAGUCCGGUGCACAUCGGACAUGUCCGGUGCGACAGCCACGUCACCAUAGCCGUUGCAAUUUGACCGUGGGGUUCUGACUUCUGGGCCCGUCUUGAUGUCCGGUGGCACACCGGACAUGUACUGUAGAGUGUUCGGUGCGCCUGCUCCGCGUGCCUGACGACUGUGCGUUUCUGGCGCGCAUUAAAUGCGCCUGCAGGUGACCGUUGGCGCGAAGUAGUCGUUGCCCCGCUGUUACACCGGACAGUCCGGUGUACACCGGACAGUCCGGUGAAUUUUAGCGGAGCAGCCGCAAGUGAAAACCCGAGGCUGGCGAGUUCCUGAGGCCGCUCUUCCUUGGAGCACCGGACAUGUCCGGUGUACACCGGACAGUCCGGUGAAUUAUAGCGGAGUGGCCUUUGGAAAUUCCCGAGAGUGAAGAGUUUGAAGUCGGAGUCCCCUGGUGCACCGGACAUGUCCGGUGGCACACCGGACAGUCCGGUGCGCCAGACCAGAGGUGCCUUCGGUUGACCCUUGCUCUUUUGUUGAACCCAACACUUGGUCUUUUUAUUGACUAAGUAUUAAUCUUUUGCACCUGUAUAACUUAUACACUAGAGCAAACUAGUUAGUCCAAUAUUUGUGUUGGGCAAUUCAACCACCAAAAUUAUUUAGGAGCUAGAUGUAAGCCUAAUUCCCUUUCAGCAACGCCACCUUCGCAGGCUUCAUAAUAUCCUUCAGAACAUUAGCCAUCCUCUUCCCUUUUUGGGGUGUUCCCCCUGGGGUUGUUUUAAGCUUUGGUUGUGCCUCUGCUUUCGCUGGCGCCUCUAGCUGCAGGCUGGCUAGGGGCACUUUGUCUUGGAUUGGCACCUCAAUGACCUCCUCCUCAUCUUUCCUCGCCUCCUACAUUAAGAGUAAAGUAUAUCAUAAAGAACAUUACGACACAAUUAAUCAAAACAAAUAGAGAAUAUAGUAAUCAUUACCUUCGUAGGUACAGGCGACUAAACCUUCGGCUCAUUGGUUGGUGCGGCCUCAAUAGAAACUUCCCUGACAGAAGUAACAAGCGUAGGCAGCACUGCUCUCUCUCUCUCUCUCUCUCUCUCUCUCUUCAUAGUAAUAUUUCGGCUGCUUUGCCAAAAUUUUCACCUUUUUUUUGCUUCGGCGCAGCCCAAGGUGACUUCACAUCACUUUUCCUUUUCUGACCUUUACUUGGAACAGGGAAGCAAUAAUCAGGAUAUAGAAAUGGAUAGCGUAAAAAACUCGAUUAUGUCUCCUCUUUCCCCAAGCACCAAAGGCAGUGGUCAAAGCUUCAUCUUCCUUUUUGGUGUAAUUCCCCAGUAUCUCAUUACACGUUGCUUUGAUAACAUCCAUCCAUUCAUCAUCUGGCUCUCAAAACUGACUCCUGUAUCGAUAUGUAUACUUUAAGUGCACCAAACCACCUUUCUCAGCCCCUUGGUCAGAUGCACCACCCUCUUUCACCUUCGGCCAUAGUUAUUAAGGUGGCAAGACGAGGUAAGGCAACUGACCCCCUUUUUACCUUUUAAGCGAUAAGGCAUAAGGCGAGGCGACGCCUUAAAUAUAGUUAAAAUAGAAAAAAUAUUGAUAUUUGAGAAAGUAUUUAGUAUAAAAACGAGGAAAGAUAAAAGAAAAAUAAAAACUUAGCCCCUAGCCUACAAAUCAGCCCAAAAGCCCACUAGCCUAAUAAAACUAUGUUAAGCCCAUUUUCUCUCCCUCUCUAUCUUCUCCCAGUCCUAGCCACCAGUCUCGACUCCUCCCCUUCAAAUGAGGCAAUGACCCAGCCGCCUCCCCCUCUCUCCUCACUGGCGUCUCUCCCUCUCUCUCUCUCCCGUUGGCUCCCUCUCUCCUGUGUCAGCCGCUGCUUGAGGAGACUCUAGAGCUACCGUCGCACCAAUGCUAGAGAAGCCACCACGGCGCCGCCGCUAGAGUAGCCACGAAGUCGUUGUUGGAGGAGCCGACAUGCAGCUGCUGGAGCCACCAAUGGCCUCUCCCACUCGUCUUAGAUGUAGGCGUAAGGUGAGCAGGUUGCCUUACGUCGCCGAGGUGCCUUACCGCCUAGGCGACGCUUAAGCGUCACCUUGGGGAUGCCUUAACAACUAUGCCUUCGUGUAACGCCCUGAAUUUGGGGGUAGAAUUGUUUCUUCAUUUUACUCACCAAAUUCAGGUGUUACUCUCUUUACUUUUCCCGUUUCGCUCCUUCUUCCCAAUUUCAAAGCAAUAUAGCGAUUGUUGUCCAUGUCAUGUGUAAACAAAACCUAAGUUGACAUGACUGUUUCAUCAUACCGAAUCAUAUUUCUUUGUCUGAUUUUGUGCUUAAUCGCGUGCGUUGCUUAGUUUCGUUUUGGAUUUUGCUUCGCGAAUUGAUUUCCGAUCUGUGGUUGUGCGUGCCAUGGGGUUUUGACCCGCGGUGCGGCCCAGCCUAGCCCAGCCCGACCCGACCCAGCCCGGCCCGGCCCAGCUCGGCCCGCGCGCCCCUGGCGCCCCCUGAUCCCUUUUCUCUCAUUUGAUUUCUCCCGCGCAGCAACCUCUCUCUCUCCCAUCUCUCUCUCCCCGUGGUGCCCUAGGUCUUGGUGACGGUGAUCGCCGGAAUUUGGAUCCCCAAGGUGAGCUCCCUUCUCCCUCUCUCUCUCUCUCUUCCCCUCCCCCUCCCCUUUCUUCUUCCCUGCGCACCCCCUGCCCCAUCGUGCCCCCCCCGGCGACCCCCUGCCCCGUCGCGCGCCCCUCCCCGGAGGUUCCUGCUCCCAUCGCGCGCCCCCCGGCGACCCCCUGCCCCCGUCGCGCCCCCCCCCUCGGCGGCUCCGUUCGACGGUGGCCCGUGCCCGACGGCGGACCCGCGCCCCCCGGCGGCUCGCCCGAGCCCACGGCCCCGCGCCCUUGGUGGCUCGCCCCCAUGUGGCCCUCCGCGCCGCGCCUUGCGCCCCCGGUGGCUCGCCCCCGUGCGGCCCCGCGCCCGCGCGCCCUGCGCCCCUGGCGGCUCGGCCCCCACGCCGCGCCCCUGCGCCCCCGGCGGCUCGCCCCCGUGCGGCCCCGCGCCCGCGUCCCGCGCCCCGGCGACUCGCCCCGCGGCCGGUGGCCCCGCGCGCCCCGUGCCCGGGCGGCGGCUCGGCCCCGUGGCCCCCGCGUCCGCGCCCCGUGGCGGCUCGUUCUCGCGCCCUCACGCCCCGCGCGCCUGCGUGCCCCGCGACCCUGCGCUCGCAUGCCCCCGGCGCGCGCGGCAUGUUCGCGCGCGCGACUGUAGUUGCGUGGCGUGUUCGCGCGCGUGCGACUGUAGUGGUGCAGCAUGUUCGCGUGCGCGCGGCUGUAGUGGCGCGGCGUUCCACUUUCAGCUUAAUCCUUUUUUUAAUUUUAGUUUAGUCGAUGUGCUGCGUCGCGCGCUUUGUCGCGUGACGAUUCAUUUUAAAUUCAUCUUUAUUAAUGAGCUAUGUCGCGCGCUUUGUCGUGCGACGUUUCAUUUUAAAUUCAGUUCAGUUGACGUAUGUCGUCGUGUGUUUCAUCGCGCGACGCUUAACGUCUCUUUAUAAUUAAUGCAAGUGUCUCGUUGCACGCUCCGUCGCGCGACGAGUCAUUUAUUUCUUAAUUCAAUUUAAGUGUUGUGUCGUGCGUCUCGCCGCGCGACAAUCCUUUUAAUUUACCUUUAUCUGCUUAUAAUAAUUAAAUAUGGAACAUGAAUUUAUCUUAUGCUAAACGCGAUGGCUAAACUAAUACUAUUAUGUUUAAACGAGUAGUUUAAUUUAUAAUCGUGUAACGUGAUCGCUCUUUGACCGUAGUCUCGACCGUUACUUUCUCCUUCUCGCUUAGUCGUAAAUGUGUGCCCUGCGUCGAACGUCUGUUUAAUUAUUGCAUUCCAUUGUAUGGUGUACUGUUCUUUUGUAUUAAAUGUGUGGAAUGUAUGUUUGAAUUGGUAUAGAUAACAGUCAGUUGGCGGAGUCCGAAGGAGUUGCAGGUGAAGACCCUGAGCAGCAGUCGGUUGGUGAAGGCAAGUGUCCCUUGACCCAUCUAUGUCCUACUAAUUCUUAUAAUUCACUUCCCGCAUUUACACAUUUAUACCUAAGGAUUAACUAGCUUUUAUCUAUCUUAUCCUUGUUUACCUAUUCUAGUUGGGUUAUUUUGGUUUAGCUUUAUGCUAGCGAUUCACAUUAAUCAAUGAACAUGAUGAGAUUAUCCAUGAUACACUGUUUUCCCUUUUGAUUAUGAUGAUGGUACUUGUGGCCCUUAAGGGGACUCGAGCUGUUUCUCGAGUGCCUCUCCGUAAGGACUUGUUCGUUGGAUGACCGCCUGGGAAAACAGUGCAACCAUGAGGGUGGAGUGGGACGCCCUUAGCUGAGUAAUUAGAGGAACUAGGGUGUAGUUCGCUUCGUCGUCGUGCCGUUAAUGGGGCUCGGUGUAUGCGGCUCGCUCUACCAAGGUUGGUUCGUCCCCUUGGGGAGGAGUUCUGUGCAUUUAGGAUACCUAACGGGCGGCUACAGCCCCAGGAAAUCUUUGUAAAGGCUACGUAGUGAGACCCUGCCUAUUCACCUUGGUAGUGUUUAAGGGUUUAAUCGGCCCAAGAUAAGAGGGAAUCAUGGCUUGUGGGAAAAGUGUGCAACCUCUGUAAAGUGUUAUGAAACUGAUAUAUCAGCCGUGCUCGCGGUUAUGAGCGGCCAAGGGAGCUCCAUUGAUUAGAGAUACUUGAUCAGAGAUGUAUGGUUUACAGGUGGUGAUGUGAAUGAUGGUUUUGAUUAUGCUUAUGGUACUGGUAAGUGGUAUUCUUUCCGUUUGGAAAGGGUACAUCGGGUUAAUAACUUGGGUUAAUGCUAAAACCUAGCUUUCUACUAGUAAUAAUAAUCUGACCAGCUAAAAGCAACUGCUUGACUUAACUCCACAUAAAGCUAGUCCACUACAGCCAAACCAGACAUUUUGCUGAGUAUGUUGAUGUGUACUCACCCUUGCUUUACACACCAACCCCCCCAGGUUGUUAGCGUUGCAACAACUGCUCAGGUGAAGAUGAAGUUGUGGAGGAGGACUUCUAGGAGUUUCAAGAGUACGAUGAGUUCUAGGCGUGGGUUAGCGGCAAACCCCUAGUCGGCUUCCUGUGUAGGCUGUGUGUAUCUACGUUUCUUUUCCGCACUUUGAUUAUUGUUAAAGACUAUGUGGAUGUCUCGGACAUCAUGAUGUAAUCGACUAUUAUACCCUCUUUUAUGUCAUUAUUUGAGCACUG
This 27772-nucleotide long non-coding RNA is filed under the name Zea mays. Its description in RNAcentral is "long non-coding RNA (ZMAY_LNC004199)". Lineage: Eukaryota; Viridiplantae; Streptophyta; Magnoliopsida; Poales; Poaceae. The record is from RNAcentral.